UGGAUAUUCAUGCCCGAACUUCUACAUGACAUCCCAUCAUUUAAUGGUAUUCCAAGUCCUGGCCUCUGGUUUUCCCCGUGCUCAAGUAACUCAACUGAGGGCAAAAUCUGGAAGUUCCUUAAUGGCGAAUUGCCCUAAAUCUUUGGAGCCACUUUUCUAAAGUGUCUUAUUCAUAUGAAAGCAGAUUGACAUCUAGUGCUUCUGUAAUUUUACUUGAGUGAGCCACAUCUUAUUCUCUUUUUCGGACUCUCCUAUCCUUCACCAACCAAUUAUUUGGAUGUGUGACUAUCUACAGGAGGUCACACUGAAAGGAUGGGUAUGGAUGA
RNAcentral lists this long non-coding RNA (326 nucleotides) under Actinidia chinensis (golden kiwifruit). RNAcentral describes it as "long non-coding RNA (ACHI_LNC001133)". The record is from RNAcentral. Lineage: Eukaryota; Viridiplantae; Streptophyta; Magnoliopsida; Ericales; Actinidiaceae.